GAUGAACGCUGGCGGCGUGCUUAACACAUGCAAGUCGAACGAAGCACUUUAUUUGAUUUCCUUCGGGACUGAUUAUUUUGUGACUGAGUGGCGGACGGGUGAGUAACGCGUGGGUAACCUGCCUUGUACAGGGGGAUAACAGUUGGAAACGGCUGCUAAUACCGCAUAAGCGCACGGCAUCGCAUGAUGCAGUGUGAAAAACUCCGGUGGUAUAAGAUGGACCCGCGUUGGAUUAGCUAGUUGGUGAGGUAACGGCCCACCAAGGCGACGAUCCAUAGCCGACCUGAGAGGGUGACCGGCCACAUUGGGACUGAGACACGGCCCAAACUCCUACGGGAGGCAGCAGUGGGGAAUAUUGCACAAUGGGCGAAAGCCUGAUGCAGCGACGCCGCGUGAGCGAAGAAGUAUUUCGGUAUGUAAAGCUCUAUCAGCGGGGAAGAUAAUGACGGUACCUGACUAAGAAGCACCGGCUAAAUACGUG
RNAcentral lists this ribosomal RNA (481 nucleotides) under uncultured bacterium. RNAcentral's name for it is "partial 16S ribosomal RNA". It matches the Rfam family "Bacterial small subunit ribosomal RNA", at positions 28 to 507 of the family's 1533-position model. The record is from RNAcentral.